UCAGCCUCACUCUAACUCACCAUCGCUCUCACCCUCAAUCCCUCUCACCCUCUCACUCUCAUCGAGCCUCUCAGCCUCGCCCUCACUCUCAUUCACUCUCACUCUCAAUGGGUUUUUCUUACUUCAACCUCCGAUACAGCAAGGCACAACAUGUAAUUUGCAGAAGUAAGGAGAGAAACGAAGAAGGAAGAGAUCGGCAAACUACUUGCAGACCCACUUAGGCAACGAUUGAAGCAGAGAGAGGAGACUCUAGUGCAAAAUAGGAGCAACUGGAGUUCGAGAAAGCUGUCAAAGUCGCAGAUGAAGUUCUAUUGAUUGCUCCCGGAGACGAGGACGCGAUUAAGUGCAAAGAGGCACUUUCCAUGAUUCGAUCUUGCAAAAAUCGUGCUCUCUAUUUCAGCGUCUUCAAGCUGCAUAGUGGUUUACAAGGAGAUUGACUCUUCAUUGUCUGCAACAUGGCCAAGCGGACAUAGGCUGGUCUCCGUUUUCCUCUUACCUAUUCACUAAAAUAAUGGCACCUUCGACACGAAAAGCUUCCUCUCAAGCACUAGCAAUGGCAAAAAGAAUGAGGGAAAUCCAGCUGAGAAGGACAAGCAAAUCUACUAAUACUAAGCAAUCAAAUGGAUCAUCAUCAAGGGGAACAAUGGCUUCAAAAAAAACUGCAUCAAAGUUGUCAUUGAAACGACCAAGUAAAUCAAAGGGUUCAACAGUUGCGAGAAGAGCAGGACUAAGAUUGCUUAAACGAGGUUGUGUAAAAAUGUGUCGCAUUGUUAGGCGGAAGAUUAUUGGAAAAAGAAUGACUGUACCGUUUAACCAGAAAGGGCAACACAUAGGAAAAGUCGGAAAAGAGAUGCAGUCAUAUAUUGAAGUUUUAGCUCGCAUGAAGAUUCCAAUCUCGAUACCAUCAUGGAAAGAUGUGUUAAUGGAAAGGGCUAAAUACUGACUACUACCCUGUAGUUUGGGUCUAAAAUCAAUUCAGUCCCUAAACUUCUAAUUUCAUCAAGAACACCCAUGCACUUUCAAUUUUGAUCUAAUAGGUCCAAUUUGUUAGUCUUCCGACAAUUGAGUCAUUUAACUUGUUGACGUUGUUUGGCUCCAAUUUUGUUGCAGCUGGUCAACAGUCUCUUUUCUUGCGCGGGCGUGCCAGCACCGUUCGGGUGCGGUCGUCGGGGGUGUCCCUUGACCUGACUUCUAUCAAGCGAUUGUAGACGAGGAGAGCACCAACCUCGUCGUGGGAUUCUUUGUGCCUCGUGGUGAGGACUUUGCUGAAGUUUCUUCUUGUUCACAAGUCGAUACUCAAUAUUGCAGAUUGAGCAGAGCGAAAUCACCGGGAAGUAUUGAGAUCUUGCUAAAGCGUGACUUUAGCUUGGCUGGGUUGCUAGGGCGUUACCCUUGCUUGGCUGGUUCUGUAACCGUUGUGGUCGCGGCACUACCGUCGGCUCCCGAGGAGACUAGGACCGAAGCACGUUGACAGAGGGUUUGGUGGCACUGAAAGUCGGCUUCUGAGAAGACUAGGACUAGGAGUGUGAUCACCGGUAAGAGAAAGAGAAGGAGAGGAGUUGCUCUUAGAGAGGUUGCUCUAGAGAAAACUUAGAUCAUCUUAGAGAUGUUUGAUGUUGUGUUGUGAAUGUGUCUCUUAGAAUGAGAGGAGAAGGUGUUUAUAUAGGGAAGAAAAAGAAGAGUGAAAUGAUGAGUGGAAGAAAAAUAAUGAAAGUGGAGUAUGAAAGUGAUUUGUAAAAUAUGGAAAAGAUAGAGAAAUGAUGAAAUGAAAGCAAAGCAUGAAGGUGUAGAAACAUGGAAGUGAUGAUGAUCUAUUAAAGAGAUUGUCUUGAAAAAUAUAUCCAAGGAAAAGAAGAAAAGCAUCUAGCUUUCUUCAUGUGGGUAGGAAACAUGAACAUGUGAAUAUUGAGCUGGUUUUAGGUCAGUUUCUGCCCCUUUAUUCCUUCAAUUAUUUCUCCAACAAGACUUCAGAAUGAGCCUUCGAC
Molecule: RNA transcript, 1985 nt
Organism: Rosa rugosa (rugosa rose)
Lineage: Eukaryota; Viridiplantae; Streptophyta; Magnoliopsida; Rosales; Rosaceae
Exons: 4
Source: RefSeq, a predicted model, not a curated record